This 433-nucleotide ribosomal RNA is filed under the name uncultured bacterium. Its description in RNAcentral is "partial 16S ribosomal RNA". It matches the Rfam family "Bacterial small subunit ribosomal RNA", at positions 29 to 507 of the family's 1533-position model. The record is from RNAcentral.
AACGAACGCUGGCGGCAUGCCUAACACAUGCAAGUCGAACGAGACCUUCGGGUCUAGUGGCGCACGGGUGCGUAACGCGUGGGAACCUGCCCUUAGGUUCGGAAUAACUCCCCGAAAGGGGUGCUAAUACCGGAUAAUGUCUUCGGACCAAAGAUUUAUCGCCUUUGGAUGGGCCCGCGUUGGAUUAGCUAGUUGGUAGUGUAAAAGCCUACCAAGGCGACGAUCCAUAGCUGGUCUGAGAGGAUGAUCAGCCACACUGGUACUGAGACACGGCCCAGACUACUACGGGAGGAAGCAGAGGGGAAUAUUGGAAAAGGGGCGAAAGACUGAUACAGCAAUGCCGCGUGAGUGAUGAAGGCCUUAGGGUUGUAAAGCUCUUUUACCCGGGAUGAUAAUGACAGUACCGGGAGAAUAAGCUCCGGCUAACUCCGUG